RNAcentral lists this unclassified non-coding RNA (277 nucleotides) under Hevea brasiliensis (rubber tree). The record is from RNAcentral. Lineage: Eukaryota; Viridiplantae; Streptophyta; Magnoliopsida; Malpighiales; Euphorbiaceae.
AUUUUACUCCUGCAUGCUAUACUUAAUAGUCUUCCCAUCUCAUUGCUAUCUUUCUUUGGACAACUGGCUGCUGCCUGGAAUCUUUUAGGUGUUGUAGUUCUUACAAUUCUCAUACCCUGUGUCGCGACCGAGAGGUCCAGUGCCAAGUUUGUUUUCACAUAUUUCAACACAAAUAAUGGGGAUGGAAUCAAUAGUAAACCCUACAUAUUUGUUCUUGGACUUUUGAUGAGCCAAUACACACUUACCAUAUGUGCAGAUGCAUCAUACCCAGUAAGGG